Molecule: ribosomal RNA, 421 nt
Filed under: Fusobacteriota bacterium
Lineage: Bacteria; Fusobacteriati; Fusobacteriota
Description: Fusobacteria bacterium partial 16S ribosomal RNA
Rfam family: Bacterial small subunit ribosomal RNA
Source: RNAcentral
UGGGGAAUAUUGCACAAUGGACGGAAGUUUGAUGCAGCGACGCCGCGUGGAGGGUGUAGGCCUUCGAGUUGUGAACUCCUUUUUCUCGCGAAAAAGGCACAGUUUUGGCUGUGUUGAUGGUAGUGGGGGAAGAAGCGCCGGCUAACUACGUGCCAGCAGCCGCGGUAAUACGUAGGGCGCGAGCGUUGUCCGGAUUUAUUGGGCGUAAAGAGCUCGUAGGUGGUUCGUCGCGUCUGUCGUGAAAGCCAGCAGCUUAACUGUUGGUCUGCGGUGGGUACGGGCGGGCUUGAGUGCGGUAGGGGUGACUGGAAUUCCUGGUGUAGCGGUGGAAUGCGCAGAUAUCAGGAGGAACACCGAUGGCGAAGGCAGGUCACUGGGCCGUUACUGACACUGAGGAGCGAAAGCGUGGGGAGCGAACAGG